AGUGAACGCUGGCGGUAGGCCUAACACAUGCAAGUCGAACGGCAGCACAGUAAGAGCUUGCUCUUACGGGUGGCGAGUGGCGGACGGGUGAGGUAUACAUCGGAAUCUACUUUUUCGUGGGGGAUAACGUCGGGAAACUUACGCUAAUACCGCAUACGACCUACGGGUGAAAGCAGGGGAUCUUCGGACCUUGCGCGAUUGAAUGAGCCGAUGUCGGAUUAGCUGGUUGGCGGGGUAAAGGCCCACCAGGGCGACGAUCCGUAGCUGGUUUGAGAGGAUGUGGGCUCGCACGGGAAAGGAGACAGGGGAGACACGCAGACGGGAGGCAGCGGGCGGUAAUAUUAGACAAUGGGCGGAACCCUGAUCUAGCCUGACGGCGGAGGUUAGUAAGCCCUGCGGGUUGUAAAGUCCGUUUGUGGGGAAGGAAAACCAGCAGGUUAAAACCCCGCUGUUCUGGCGGUACCCAAGGAAUAACCCCCGGCUAACUCCGUG
Molecule: ribosomal RNA, 492 nt
Filed under: uncultured bacterium
Lineage: Bacteria
Description: partial 16S ribosomal RNA
Rfam family: Bacterial small subunit ribosomal RNA
Source: RNAcentral